Long non-coding RNA from Scaptodrosophila lebanonensis, 186 nucleotides. RefSeq lists it as uncharacterized. The record is from RefSeq and is a predicted model, not a curated record. NCBI's taxonomy places the organism in Eukaryota, Metazoa, Arthropoda, Insecta, Diptera, Drosophilidae. The transcript is spliced from 3 exons.
ACUCAUGGGCAGUAUUGAUGAUAUCCUCAUGAUGAUAUCGCCGCAAAUUUGAAACGCGCAUGUUGGCGCAAUAUUUGUGGACUGAGAAAAUCAGUGAUGAGCUAUAUCAAAUAGAAUGCCUCCUAGACUUUGGUAGUCCAAUAACGUUCAUUAAAGAAUCAACUGUCCCUGAAGGAUCAAAAAUAC